Non-coding RNA from Callithrix jacchus (white-tufted-ear marmoset), 99 nucleotides. The record is from RefSeq and is a predicted model, not a curated record. NCBI's taxonomy places the organism in Eukaryota, Metazoa, Chordata, Mammalia, Primates, Cebidae.
ACCCUGCCUCAAGAAAAACUAAAUUAAGUUUUCAGGUUGUUUUAUGAUAUGUGCCUUCCUCAAAACUUGUUACGAUAUCAUCACCUCACCCAUCUGAUG